GGUGGACGGAAGCUUGCUGUAGAGGCCACACGCGGAGUACCCCGUUACUCGCCACGUCGCCUCGGGGAAGGUCUGAGACAAGAGCCACUGGCUGUCCUCGCAGGACACCGCUCGACUCGAGCGGGCGAGCGCACAGAAAACCCGGCGCCGCCGCGAGGGUGAAUUUGCGCAGGAGACGCCGCCAUUGCGCGGCCGAUGCGCCCUCGCCGGCUUGGAACCGCUCGCGGCUAGCGCGUGAGUUCGAUGUGCAAGCUGACGCAAGGCGUCAGAACCCAAUUCAGACUACUCUCCCUCCACU
This is a ribozyme of 298 nucleotides. It matches the Rfam family "Nuclear RNase P". Rfam says of the family: Ribonuclease P (RNase P) is a ubiquitous endoribonuclease, found in archaea, bacteria and eukarya as well as chloroplasts and mitochondria. Its best characterised activity is the generation of mature 5'-ends of tRNAs by cleaving the 5'-leader elements of precursor-tRNAs. The record is from Ensembl.